CCCCACCUUCGCCUCUGUCAAAACCCAGCCUAGCCUCCCCAUCGCUAACUGGCACCACCAGGCACUAGCACAAUACAUGUAAUAAAUAGCACCAACUUAGAAAGCAAUUUUUCUCAAUGCCUGGCUUUCAAAAGGCCUUAAUAACCAUGCUAUUAAUUUUUUUUGUUUUUCUAAUGGGAGGGAAAUCCAGAGAAGGGAAGUUCUGAAAGGAAAGAAUGCUUUUGUGUGAGGGAGAAAGCAUUGAAAUUACCUGAACAAUCAAAGCUGCCUUUAUUUUAACAUGCCACCACUACAGAAGGAGGGGAAUAUUCCAGAGCCUCCUCCCUUCUCUCUCUCCCACACACACAAUUCAUGCUCAUUUACCACAUGGGGGGUUUCGAAGAAAACAGUGGCAAGACAAUGGAGGCCAGAACAGACGCACUGUUAAGCCCAGCUGCACUUGCCUGUCAUGAGUCAGGCUUCCGAGAAAGUGGCAGAAAGAGGCGGGCAGAUUUUGUGUUUUGACUUCCAGUUCCAUUUGAACUCUGUAAGCACUGGUGCCUUUUUAGGCUCAGUAACCAGGGUAAGGAAAAAGAGAUUGUUGUUUGUUACAAUUUUAAUAAAUUUUGCCUCAAAUAAAAUGUGUUGAUGUGACUCUACCACAUAUGAUAUACAGUAUAUCUUUAUGAUGCCGUGUGACUGUGUAGGAGAGGUAAGCUGCCCCCUUAGGGCAGGAGGCCACACUGCCUGCCAGCACUUCUGAAAUUCACAUGUGGCCAUCAUGACUUUCACCACAAUUGAAGUCAAGAUUUGGCAACAAGUGUAGACACUCUCUAUGGUACAGGAGGGCAGUUGGGGACGGAGGCAGCCCACAUGCUGAAUUUGACCCAAUGUAACCUGCUUGUUGCCAAAAGUCUAAGAGGAAAAAUGAAAAAUGAUGCUGGACAGUAUGGUGUCAGCAAAUAUGCUUUAUUAAAUGACAGCUGUAACAUGUAGCACUGGCCGUGAGUGAUAGAUUUCAGAAAUUUUACUAUCUCUCUGUGAAAAUUCAUAAUUUCAGAAGGGAUUAUGGGGAAUGUGCAAUACAGCAGAAUUAUACAAAUGCUGCUGGAUAGCUUAUAAAAUUUUAUCUGCUCAAAACAGAACAAAUAUCCCACCCCAACCCGUAGUAUCCAUCAGCCAGUGGGAAAGGAAAGGAGAUAAAGGCAGGAAGAUCUAGACCAUAUGAAUGAACAAAAUUCAACACAGUGGCAUGAUUUUCCUCUUUUUUUCGAUUCUCAUUCUAGGAAAUGUAACAACCAAAUCUCAGAUGACUUCAACUGCUUGAAUAAAAAUAACCCAUUUGUUCCCUAAUGUAAAUAU
This 1341-nucleotide long non-coding RNA is filed under the name Pogona vitticeps (central bearded dragon). RNAcentral's name for it is "lncRNA (ENSPVIG00000024593.1)". The record is from RNAcentral. Lineage: Eukaryota; Metazoa; Chordata; Lepidosauria; Squamata; Agamidae.